RNAcentral lists this ribosomal RNA (756 nucleotides) under uncultured bacterium. Its description in RNAcentral is "bacterial SSU rRNA". It matches the Rfam family "Bacterial small subunit ribosomal RNA", at positions 8 to 796 of the family's 1533-position model. The record is from RNAcentral.
AGAGUUUGAUCAUGGCUCAGAAUCAACGCUGGCGGCGUGCCUAACACAUGCAAGUCGCACGAGAAAGUGGAGCAAUCCAUGAGUACAGUGGCGCACGGGUGAGUAACACGUGACUAACCUGCCCUUGAGUGGGGAAUAACCUCGGGAAACCGGGGCUAAUACCGCAUAAUACCUACGGGUCAAAGCAGCAAUGCGCUUAAGGAGGGGGUCGCGGCCGAUUAGUUUGUUGGCGGGGUAAUGGCCCACCAAGACUAUGAUCGGUAUCCGGCCUGAGAGGGCGCACGGACACACUGGAACUGAAACACGGUCCAGACUCCUACGGGAGGCAGCAGUGGGGAAUUUUGCGCAAUGGGGGAAACCCUGACGCAGCAACGCCGCGUGGAGGAUGAAGUCCCUUGGGACGUAAACUCCUUUCGAUCGGGAAGAUAAUGACGGUACCGGAAGAAGAAGCCCCGGCUAACUUCGUGCCAGCAGCCGCGGUAAUACGAGGGGGGCGAGCGUUGUUCGGAAUUAUUGGGCGUAAAGGGUGCGUAGGCGGUUUGGUAAGUCUUGUGUGAAAUCUAUGGGCUCAACUCAUAGUCUGCACGAGGAACUGCCGGGCUGGAGUAUGGGAGAGGUGAGUGGAAUUUCCGGUGUAGCGGUGAAAUGCGUAGAUAUCGGAAGGAACACCUGUGGCGAAAGCGGCUCACUGGACCAUUACUGACGCUGAUGCACGAAAGCUAGGGGAGCAAACAGGAUUAGAUACCCUAGUAGUCC